UACGUAGGAGGCAAGCGUUGUCCGGAAUUACUGGGCGUAAAGCGCGUGUAGGUGGUGGGACAAGUCUGCUGUGAAAGCGCCUGGCUUAACCGGGAGUGGUCGGUGGAAACUGCUCGUCUGGAGGACGGUAGAGGUAGGUAGAAUUCCCGGUGUAGUGGUGAAAUGCGUAGAGAUCGGGAGGAAUACCUGUGGCGAAGGCGGCCUACUGGGCCGGACCUGACGCUGAGACGCGAAGGCGUGGGGAGCGAACGGG
Molecule: ribosomal RNA, 253 nt
Filed under: uncultured bacterium
Lineage: Bacteria
Description: partial 16S ribosomal RNA
Rfam family: Bacterial small subunit ribosomal RNA
Source: RNAcentral